Molecule: unclassified non-coding RNA, 335 nt
Filed under: soil metagenome
Description: partial contains 5.8S ribosomal RNA, internal transcribed spacer 2, and large subunit ribosomal RNA
Rfam family: 5.8S ribosomal RNA (bases 1-120)
Source: RNAcentral
GAUGAAGAACGUAGCGAAAUGCGAUAAGUAAUGUGAAUUGCAGAAUUCAGUGAAUCAUCGAAUCUUUGAACGCACAUUGCGCCCGCCAGUAUUCUGGCGGGCAUGCCUGUUCGAGCGUCAUUUCAACCAUCAAGCCCCCGGCUUGUGUUGGGGACCUGCGGCUGCCGCAGGCCCUGAAAACCAGUGGCGGGCUCGCUAGUCACUCCGAGCGUAGUAAUACAUCUCGCUCAGGGCGUGCCGCGGGUUCCGGCCGUUAAAAAGCCUUAUUUACCCAAGGUUGACCUCGGAUCAGGUAGGAAGACCCGCUGAACUUAAGCAUAUCAAUAAGCGGAGGA